GAUGAACGCUAGCGGCAGGCUUAACACAUGCAAGUCGAGGGGCAGCGGGAGGAGGUAGCAAUACCACCUUGCCGGCGACCGGCGGAAGGGUGCGUAACGCGUGAGCAACCUGCCCGUCACUGGGGAAUAACCGUUGGAAACGACGACUAAUACCCCAUAGUUCUGGAGGGAGGCAUCUCCUUUCAGGUAAAGAAUUUCGGUGACGGAUGGGCUCGCGUGACAUUAGCUAGUUGGUAGGGUAACGGCCUACCAAGGCGACGAUGUCUAGGGGUUCUGAGAGGAAGGUCCCCCACACUGGAACUGAGACACGGUCCAGACUCCUACGGGAGGCAGCAGUGAGGAAUAUUGGUCAAUGGGCGGAAGCCUGAACCAGCCAUGCCGCGUGAAGGAAGAAGGUCCUAUGGAUUUUAAACUUCUUUUGUCGGAGAGCAAUAAGGGUCUCGUGAGAUCCGAUGAGAGUAUCCGACGAAUAAGCAUCGGCUAACUCCGUGCCAGCAGCCGCGGUAAUACGGGGGAUGCGAGCGUUAUCCGGAUUUAUUGGGUUUAAAGGGUGCGUAGGCGGUCCGGUAAGUCAGCCGUGAAAAGCCCCCGCUCAACGGGGGUCGUGCGUUUGAUACUGUUGGACUGGAAUGCGGAUGCCGUGGGA
This 646-nucleotide ribosomal RNA is filed under the name uncultured Bacteroidota bacterium. Its description in RNAcentral is "bacterial SSU rRNA". It matches the Rfam family "Bacterial small subunit ribosomal RNA", at positions 28 to 662 of the family's 1533-position model. Lineage: Bacteria; Pseudomonadati; Bacteroidota. The record is from RNAcentral.